AGUAACGGCGAGUGAAGCGGCAACAGCUCAAAUUUGAAAGCUGGCGCAAGCCCGAGUUGUAAUUUGUAGAGGAUGUUUCUGGCGACGUGCUUUCCGAGUUCCCUGGAACGGGACGCCAUAGAGGGUGAGAGCCCCGUACGGUUGGAUGCCUAGCCUCUGUGAAACUCCUUCGACGAGUCGAGUUGUUUGGGA
Molecule: ribosomal RNA, 192 nt
Filed under: Clonostachys byssicola
Lineage: Eukaryota; Fungi; Ascomycota; Sordariomycetes; Hypocreales; Bionectriaceae
Description: partial large subunit ribosomal RNA
Rfam family: Eukaryotic large subunit ribosomal RNA
Source: RNAcentral